AGCAUCCGCGGACCGGACGGGAGGCGCGUGGCGGGCCCGCCACGCGCCUCCCGUCCGACGUCAGUGCC
RNAcentral lists this microRNA precursor (68 nucleotides) under Curtobacterium sp. ER1/6. RNAcentral describes it as "microRNA mir-937". The record is from RNAcentral. Lineage: Bacteria; Bacillati; Actinomycetota; Actinomycetes; Micrococcales; Microbacteriaceae.